This 87-nucleotide non-coding RNA is filed under the name Amborella trichopoda. Its description in RNAcentral is "Bacterial large subunit ribosomal RNA". It matches the Rfam family "Bacterial large subunit ribosomal RNA", at positions 1915 to 2001 of the family's 2925-position model. Lineage: Eukaryota; Viridiplantae; Streptophyta; Magnoliopsida; Amborellales; Amborellaceae. The record is from Rfam by way of RNAcentral.
GACACCCGGUGAACAGCGGUCGGAACUAUAACGGUCCUAAGGUAGCGAAAUUCCUUGUCGGGUAAGUUCGGACUCGCACGAAAGGCG